RNAcentral lists this ribosomal RNA (482 nucleotides) under uncultured bacterium. RNAcentral describes it as "partial 16S ribosomal RNA". It matches the Rfam family "Bacterial small subunit ribosomal RNA", at positions 30 to 507 of the family's 1533-position model. The record is from RNAcentral.
AUUGAACGCUAGCGGCAUGCUUUACACAUGCAAGUCGAACGGUAACAGCACUUCGGUGGCUGACGAGUGGCGAACGGGUGAGUAAUACAUCGGAACGUGCCUAGUAGUGGGGGAUAACUACUCGAAAGAGUAGCUAAUACCGCAUGAGAUCUAAGGAUGAAAGCAGGGGACCUUCGGGCCUUGCGCUACUAGAGCGGCUGAUGGCAGAUUAGGUAGUUGGUGGGAUAAAAGCUUACCAAGCCGACGAUCUGUAGCUGGUCUGAGAGGACGACCAGCCACACUGGGACUGAGACACGGCCCAGACUCCUACGGGAGGCAGCAGUGGGGAAUUUUGGACAAUGGGCGCAAGCCUGAUCCAGCAAUGCCGCGUGCAGGAUGAAGGCCUUCGGGUUGUAAACUGCUUUUGUACGGAACGAAAAGCCCUCUUCUAAUACAGGAGGGUCAUGACGGUACCGUAAGAAUAAGCACCGGCUAACUACGUG